UCAGGCGGCCAAAGCGGGGUGGUACACCCGAUCUCGUUCCGAUCUCGGAAGUUAAACGCCCCAACGGUCUAGGCUGUACUGCAGAAAUGUGGGAAACCUAGAUAGCUGCCGUUU
RNAcentral lists this ribosomal RNA (114 nucleotides) under Candidatus Aenigmatarchaeota archaeon. Lineage: Archaea; Nanobdellati; Candidatus Aenigmatarchaeota. The record is from RNAcentral.